UCAGUGACCCUUCCUCAAAAUUGUUUAAUUUCCAGAAUUCACAGUUCUUUGAUUUUUUUGUAAAGAAAAUGCUUGCUGGUGCAAGAAAGGUGCUAUCGGCACAUGCAAUCAUAACUGGUUUGUUUGUGAAUUGCAUCAGAAUAAGUUGGCUUAGUGUGGAUCACUAAGGGAUCAGACAAAUCUUGCAGACUUUAGAAGCAAUAGGAAAAAAGAAAACUACUGCAAUGAAGAAAACAAAACACAAAAUAGAUAGAUGAGCAAAGAACACAAGCAAGCAGAUGGGCAUUUGAUAUCACAGAUACAAUCGAGUCUUGGAUGAAAGAUGGACAGGAUUGGCAGAUCAACAUUCUGAGUUUACACAAGAUAGAGAUAGGUUCAGGCAUGUGGAUGUUGCAAUAUUUAAUGGGGGGUGGGGUGAUGAAAGAAGGGGGCUGGGGGAAGGUAGCCUGGAAGGCGAUAGGUAGAUAGGGAGAGUGGAACGCUUUAGGUGAGACGGAAGAUGGACAGUUCAGAAGGGUGGUGCUGAGUUGGACGCUUGGAUGACACAUGGGUGAGAGUAGAUUAGGAAACUGGUGAAAAUCAGUUUGGAAGAGCAUGGCACUGCGCCUAAUUUCAAAUAUACUGAAAUCUGAAAUGUAUUUUGCAGGCACUUUGUAAAAUGUUUUCACAAACACACAGCCAGGGAAAAUAGGGAGGCCACGCAGUCUGAGGUAGGUGCAGCUGGGUUGCAUAUUGCAGCAACUUACACCUGACCACUACCUAUUCAUUUGGAGGAACAGCUGUUUUGAGGUGCAACUCCAGCACUGCCACCCGCAACGUACAAAAAAAAAGUUUCUGUUAAUGUCGCUCCCACGAUAUCGGGUGUCCCCGAGAAGACAAUAAACGAAGUGAAAUCAAAAAGUGACGCGGCUUCAAUGAUUGUCGUUACCCUACAUGCUGUGGAAGGAACACCACAUUUCAUCCGCUAAUAAUAAAGAACCACGGAUGCUGAAAAUCUGAAAGAAAUGGAGAAACGCAGGGGUCACUGGGCUUGAAACUGAUUUGCUGUUCACAGAUUCUGCCAGAGCUGAUUUCCAGCAUCCGCAGUUCUUUGUGGUAAACCAAACACUCAC
Molecule: non-coding RNA, 1112 nt
Organism: Chiloscyllium plagiosum (whitespotted bambooshark)
Lineage: Eukaryota; Metazoa; Chordata; Chondrichthyes; Orectolobiformes; Hemiscylliidae
Source: RefSeq, a predicted model, not a curated record